Molecule: non-coding RNA, 883 nt
Organism: Chlorocebus sabaeus (green monkey)
Lineage: Eukaryota; Metazoa; Chordata; Mammalia; Primates; Cercopithecidae
Source: RefSeq, a predicted model, not a curated record
UUUCGGGUGCACCAAGGGAGAUACUCAAGGUCACUUUGUAACAACUUUAUUGGCAACUAGCCGGGAAGGACAACGACAACCACCUGGUGACUGGGCAGGCAGUAAGUGAGAUCUGUCCCCAGUUUGAAAAAUGCUGAGCUUCUCAGAUUCCCUUAUGAUUAGGAAUGGUCAAUGACAUAUCUAAUGUCUGGAUGGGAGGCAGCAAUAUUACAACUACAAGCACAAAAGUCACACGUUAAGGAUGGAGAAUCUGGAAAGUAGGAACCUGAAUUUUUCACUUUUUUUUGGAGUAAGCAGCCCUUAAUUGCCUAUUUAUGGAGUUCAUGUCACAUGAAAAAAAUAAAUCUCUAUUUGGCUAAGUCACUGAAGCCAGUUUCUGUUAUAUGCAGCUAAACACAACCCAAACUAAUAGAUAAUUUUGUAGACUUACAUCUCUGAAGAUCUUUGGCCUUUGGGCUGUGAUUACAGCUGAAGUGCCCCUUCUCCCCCCAAAUUUACAUUAAUUUACAUCUGUCUUUUCUUCCUUAUUUGAUGGUAUGGUAUGUCUGCUAGGGACCAAUCAGUAGACAAAAAAAAUACCUGUGAUUUGAACAGGGAAAAUUUAACAUAAAAAAAACGAUUAACCAGUGAAAGAUGCCUAAAAGGAGCAGAGUGGACUCUAAGGGGUCCAGUGGUACUCCUGUAGGCAUGGCUACUAACCCUGGCUGAAGAAGAACGUACAAGAAGAAGGAACCUGAGAAAUUUAGAGGAGAAUGUGUGACUGCCACAAGAAUGUGUAGUCCACCUGUGCUGAAGAAACUUGCUGGAAGCAUGGGCCGUAACUGAAUUGUGAGGACUGUAGAGGUGAAUACUACUAGGCCCUGCCUGCAAACCAAUCCACUGA